GAAAAGGUGACGGCUCAGAGGACGUUCACGCUCAGUGACGUCUUCAAUAGCUCCAUCAGGGCCAGAUCCUACAACAUGCGCUGGAUCUCAGACCAUGAGUAUCUGCAUCAAAAAGACGGUUCAGUCUUCCUUCACAACCUGAUUACAGGAAACAACUCAGAAUUCCUGAGCAGCAUCACAUUUGAUCAAGUGGCUGCCUAUGACUAUGUAGUGUCUGCUGAUCAAAAAUAUGUUGCUUUCAAGAGCAAUUGGACUAAGGUAAUGUCUUGUGAUAUUUAAU
Molecule: non-coding RNA, 280 nt
Organism: Salvelinus sp. IW2-2015
Lineage: Eukaryota; Metazoa; Chordata; Actinopteri; Salmoniformes; Salmonidae
Source: RefSeq, a predicted model, not a curated record